Molecule: long non-coding RNA, 175 nt
Organism: Rosa chinensis
Lineage: Eukaryota; Viridiplantae; Streptophyta; Magnoliopsida; Rosales; Rosaceae
Exons: 3
Source: RefSeq, a predicted model, not a curated record
GUAAGAAAUCGGUCUGCAAGGUGUGAAGAAAAGGAGAAGCUUGAAUCUGUAAAUCAAGGAAAAUUUGGGUAUAGCAAGAAGGAAGAUCUGGAAUUACCAUUGUUUUUUAUUUGUCUGCUUAUUUUUGAAGAGAAGGAGAGGCUGAAAGUUGUUAUUGAACAGAUCACGAGCUGUA